GUGAUUUGGAAUAGGAUAAGGCAAUCAAGAGAUUUUUGGUGAGGAACAUCGUUGAACAAGCUGCUGUUAGAGAUGUUCAGGAAGCUUAUGUCUAUGAUGGAUACACUUUGCCUAAAUUGUACGCCAAGAUGCUUUACUGUGUGUCCUGUGCUAUUCAUUCUCAUGUGGUGAGAGUUCGUUCUAGAGAGAAGAGGAGGAACCGUGACCCACCUCAACGUUUCAAGCGUCGGGAAGUGGUUAUUAAUAUUGUCGCACUUGGUGAUACAAAUUAGAAACAAUGGUAUCUACAGUCUCGGUCUCGG
Molecule: long non-coding RNA, 302 nt
Organism: Papaver somniferum (opium poppy)
Lineage: Eukaryota; Viridiplantae; Streptophyta; Magnoliopsida; Ranunculales; Papaveraceae
Exons: 3
Source: RefSeq, a predicted model, not a curated record